GGUGAACGCUGGCGGUAGGCCUAACACAUGCAAGUCGAACGGCAGCACAGUAAGAGCUUGCUCUUACGGGUGGCGAGUGGCGGACGGGUGAGGAAUACAUCGGAAUCUACUUUUUCGUGGGGGAUAACGUAGGGAAACUUACGCUAAUACCGCAUACGACCUACGGGUGAAAGCAGGGGAUCUUCGGACCUUGCGCGAUUGAAUGAGCCGAUGUCGGAUUAGCUAGUUGGCGGGGUAAAGGCCCACCAAGGCGACGAUCCGUAGCUGGUCUGAGAGGAUGAUCAGCCACACUGGAACUGAGACACGGUCCAGACUCCUACGGGAGGCAGCAGUGGGGAAUAUUGGACAAUGGGCGCAAGCCUGAUCCAGCCAUACCGCGUGGGUGAAGAAGGCCUUCGGGUUGUAAAGCCCUUUUGUUGGGAAAGAAAAGCAGCAGGUUAAUACCCCGCUGUUCUGACGGUACCCAAAGAAUAAGCACCAGCUAACUUCGU
Molecule: ribosomal RNA, 491 nt
Filed under: uncultured bacterium
Lineage: Bacteria
Description: partial 16S ribosomal RNA
Rfam family: Bacterial small subunit ribosomal RNA
Source: RNAcentral